This 73-nucleotide transfer RNA is filed under the name Ictidomys tridecemlineatus (thirteen-lined ground squirrel). RNAcentral's name for it is "Spermophilus tridecemlineatus (thirteen-lined ground squirrel) tRNA". It matches the Rfam family "tRNA". Rfam says of the family: Transfer RNA (tRNA) molecules are approximately 80 nucleotides in length. Their secondary structure includes four short double-helical elements and three loops (D, anti-codon, and T loops). Further hydrogen bonds mediate the characteristic L-shaped molecular structure. tRNAs have two regions of fundamental functional importance: the anti-codon, which is responsible for specific mRNA codon recognition, and the 3' end, to which the tRNAs corresponding amino acid is attached (by aminoacyl-tRNA synthetases). tRNAs cope with the degeneracy of the genetic code in two manners: having more than one tRNA (with a specific anti-codon) for a particular amino acid; and 'wobble' base-pairing, i.e. permitting non-standard base-pairing at the 3rd anti-codon position. Lineage: Eukaryota; Metazoa; Chordata; Mammalia; Rodentia; Sciuridae. The record is from Rfam by way of RNAcentral.
CGGGAUAUGGCUCAGUUGGUAGAGUGUUUGCCAGGCAUGCACAAAGCCCUGGGUUCAAUCCCCAGCAUCACAA